This 486-nucleotide ribosomal RNA is filed under the name uncultured bacterium. RNAcentral's name for it is "partial 16S ribosomal RNA". It matches the Rfam family "Bacterial small subunit ribosomal RNA", at positions 30 to 507 of the family's 1533-position model. The record is from RNAcentral.
AUUGAACGCUGGCGGCAUGCCUUACACAUGCAAGUCGAACGGCAGCACGGGUGCUUGCCCCUGGUGGCGAGUGGCGAACGGGUGAGUAAUACAUCGGAACAUGUCCUGUAGUGGGGGAUAGCCCGGCGAAAGCCGGAUUAAUACCGCAUACGAUCUACGGAUGAAAGCGGGGGACCUUCGGGCCUCGCGCUAUAGGGUUGGCCGAUGGCUGAUUAGCUAGUUGGUGGGGUAAAGGCCUACCAAGGCGACGAUCAGUAGCUGGUCUGAGAGGACGACCAGCCACACUGGGACUGAGACUCGGCCCAGACUCCUACGGGAGGCAGCAGUGGGGAAUUUUGGACAAUGGGCGAAAGCCUGAUCCAGCAAUGCCGCGUGUGUGAAGAAGGCCUUCGGGUUGUAAAGCACUUUUGUCCGGAAAGAAAUCCUUGGCCCUAAUACGGUCGGGGGAUGACGGUACCGGAAGAAUAAGCACCGGCUAACUACGUG